GGCAGACAUCCGGCUGGAUCAGGGACCUGUCUUGAAAACAGGCGGCGGCCGCGGGCCGAUUGUGGGUUCGAGUCCCACGGCUGCCG
Molecule: transfer RNA, 86 nt
Filed under: Planctomycetaceae bacterium
Lineage: Bacteria; Pseudomonadati; Planctomycetota; Planctomycetia; Planctomycetales; Planctomycetaceae
Description: tRNA-Ser
Source: RNAcentral